UCUCCGUUGGUGAACCAGCGGAGGGAUCAUUACCGAGUUUACAACUCCCAAACCCAAUGUGAACCAUACCAAACUGUUGCCUCGGCGGGGUCACGCCCCGGGUGCGUCGCAGCCCCGGAACCAGGCGCCCGCCGGAGGGACCAACCAAACUCUUUCUGUAGUCCCCUCGCGGAUGUUAUUUCUUACAGCUCUGAGCAAAAAUUCAAAAUGAAUCAAAACUUUCAACAACGGAUCUCUUGGUUCUG
Molecule: unclassified non-coding RNA, 245 nt
Filed under: plant metagenome
Description: partial contains small subunit ribosomal RNA, internal transcribed spacer 1, and 5.8S ribosomal RNA
Source: RNAcentral